RNAcentral lists this ribosomal RNA (585 nucleotides) under uncultured bacterium. RNAcentral's name for it is "partial 16S ribosomal RNA". It matches the Rfam family "Bacterial small subunit ribosomal RNA", at positions 355 to 938 of the family's 1533-position model. The record is from RNAcentral.
UGGGGAAUUUUGGACAAUGGGGGAAACCCUGAUCCAGCCAUCCCGCGUGUGCGAUGAAGGCCUUCGGGUUGUAAAGCACUUUUGGCAGGAAAGAAACGUCGCGGAUUAAUACCCCGCGAAACUGACGGUACCUGCAGAAUAAGCACCGGCUAACUACGUGCCAGCAGCCGCGGUAAUACGUAGGGUGCAAGCGUUAAUCGGAAUUACUGGGCGUAAAGCGUGCGCAGGCGGUUCGGAAAGAAAGAUGUGAAAUCCCAGAGCUUAACUUUGGAACUGCAUUUUAACUACCGGCUAGAGUGUGUCAGAGGGAGGUGGAAUUCCGCGUGUAGCAGUGAAAUGCGUAGAUAUGCGGAGGAACACCGAUGGCGAAGGCAGCCUCCUGGGAUAACACUGACGCUCAUGCACGAAAGCGUGGGGAGCAAACAGGAUUAGAUACCCUGGUAGUCCACGCCCUAAACGAUGUCAACUAGCUGUUGGGGCCUUCGGGCCUUGGUAGCGCCAGCUAACGCGUGAAGUUGACCGCCUGGGGAGUACGGUCGCAAGAUUAAAACUCAAAUGAAUUGACGGGGGUCAUAGCUGUUUUCC